This 171-nucleotide ribosomal RNA is filed under the name uncultured bacterium. RNAcentral's name for it is "partial 16S ribosomal RNA". It matches the Rfam family "Bacterial small subunit ribosomal RNA", at positions 338 to 524 of the family's 1533-position model. The record is from RNAcentral.
CCUACGGGAGGCAGCAGUGGGGAAUUUUCCGCAAUGGGCGAAAGCCUGACGGAGCAACGCCGCGUGAGGGAGGAAGGUCUUUGGAUUGUAAACCUCUUUUCUCAAGGAAGAAGUUCUGACGGUACUUGAGGAAUCAGCCUCGGCUAACUCCGUGCCAGCAGCCGCGGUAAU